GUUCAUUCUUGAACAUAUACUAAAAUUGGAACAGUACAGAGAAUAUUAGCAAGGCCCCUACACAAGAAUGACGGGCAAAUUCGUGAAGCGUCCCAAAAUUUC
This 102-nucleotide small nuclear RNA is filed under the name Angiostrongylus costaricensis. Lineage: Eukaryota; Metazoa; Nematoda; Chromadorea; Rhabditida; Metastrongylidae. The record is from RNAcentral.